This 301-nucleotide long non-coding RNA is filed under the name Jatropha curcas. Its description in RNAcentral is "long non-coding RNA (JCUR_LNC002893)". The record is from RNAcentral. Lineage: Eukaryota; Viridiplantae; Streptophyta; Magnoliopsida; Malpighiales; Euphorbiaceae.
UUAUAGAAAAAUAAACCUCAAGAUUCUAUUAAAUUUCGGCCCAAAUUUAUCAGUUACAACAUUUCCAUAGUUCGGGCCCAAUUAACAAUACAUCACAUUUUUAAUAUAGGCUCACAUAAUUAUAUCGUCUAUGUUAAUACACGACUAAUUAUACACAAAUUCUACAACUGCGGAGUUCAAUAACAGAUAUAUACAGAUAAUUCUUCAGACAUUUAUCUACUUAAUAUAUCAACAUUAAAAUUAAAGAAUUUCUUUUUAACAGUGAAGGAGCAGAGUUAUAGCUGGGAUUUAGAAAAUGCUA